CGGCGCACGGGUGAGUAACACGUAUCCAACCUGCCGUCUACUCUUGUACAGCCUUCUGAAAGGAAGAUUAAUACAAGAUGGCAUCAUGAGUCCGCAUGUUCACAUGAUUAAAGGUAUUCCGGUAGACGAUGGGGAUGCGUUCCAUUAGAUAGUAGGCGGGGUAACGGCCCACCUGGUCUUCGAUGGAUAGGGGUUCUGAGAGGAAGGUCCCCCACAUUGGAACUGAGACACGGUCCAAACUCCACGGGAGGCAGCAUG
Molecule: ribosomal RNA, 258 nt
Filed under: uncultured bacterium
Lineage: Bacteria
Description: partial 16S ribosomal RNA
Rfam family: Bacterial small subunit ribosomal RNA
Source: RNAcentral